AUGGGGUACAUGAACGACACUCGUGGUUUACUGUUGACGACGUGCCCCAGCAGCAUCGACCACUACGUCCAGAACCUGACCUCCUCCUACUCCAACAAGAGCAACGAGUCCUCCGUGGUGGCCACCUCCGUCUUCAUGCUCGUCCUCGCCGCCGUCUUCUUCAACCUCAACCUCUUCAGCCGCGUCUCCAACACCAGCGCCGUCCUCAACCCCACCGCCCGCGCCGUUCUCAACUCCGCCCUCAACCUCUUCCUCCCCGUCAUGUCCUACCUCUUCUCCGAGGCCAAAAACACCCCUGACGGUGGCGCCGACCUCCCGGUGCGGGCUCGCCUCAUCCUCACCUGGAUGCUUCUCGUCGAGCUCCUCCGCAAGAAGGUGGAGGCCAUCCUGGUCACCGCCGGCAUGCAGCAGGGCUACUCUAACAUCAUCACACAUGCCAACGCCGUCGCCUGGCUGGGCUACCUCGCCUUCUUCAACCUCAAGGUGGCCGGCCGGGUGGCCGUCUUCGGCACGCUCUGGCUGCUCUGCGCCGCCAAGUUCGUGCAGAGGGUGGCCUUCACCGAGAUAGGGAAGCGUUCCUUGGCCUACGGCAAGAACGCUCGCCUCCUCUCCUCCUACAUGGCUGAAAUGGUCAAGGACCCGCGGCAUGGCGGCACCGCCGUCCAGGACCAGGACCUCUCUCCGUUGCAGAGGAUGAAGAUGUGCAAGUACGUCGUCAUGGGAGAAGAGAACCUUAUGCUGAAGCCCGGCCCGCAUGGCUACGAGCUCGACCUCGACAGGCUCAACACCACGUACGACGAUGGCGACCACAUCGUCACCGUCGGGAAAAUAUGGGAACUCGUUGAGCAGGAGAAGAAACCGAGGCUUAAAAGGCUCCAGAGGCUAAGCCUCUCCUUCGCGCUCUUCAAGCUGCUGCGGCCUAGGUUCGAGCUCCUGCCGGCCAUGACCAAGCAAGAAACCGACCACUGCCGGGACCUCAUCUUCCAAGGCCUGUGCAGAGUCAGCGACGGCGACGUGGACCCAGGGGUGGCACUAUUCCAGGUGCUCAAGGACGAGAUCAGCUUCGUGAGUGAGUACUACCACUCGGUCCACCCGGUGGUGCUGGCCAGCCCCUACUUCUUUGUGAUCAACUACAUCACCUUCCCAGUGGUGGUGUUGGUCCUUUGCUUCAUGACCAUCGCCCUCGCCGGCAACGGCGACAUGCUCUUGGCGUUUCACAGCGUCGGGGACGACAACUACGCCAUAUCGUCGGGCAUAUUCACGCUCACCAAGUGCCUAUGGAAGAACUUUCUCCGGAAACCGGCGGCCUUCUUCGCCAUCAUCGACAUCUCCAUCACCUACCUCCUGUUCAUCGCUUUCGUCUACGAGGAGGUGUGGGAGUACAUGGUGUUUGUGUUCUCCAACUGGUUCAUGGUGUCGCUGCUCUGCACAUACACCGCAAGGCGACGCUGGCAGGAGAGUAAGACCUACCGUGGCACUCUCCGCCGCAUCGCCUGGAUCAGUAGCAAGCUGAGCCACCCUAGCCGUGUCACCCUCAAGCAGUUCUCCGUGCUGAGGGUUAGCUGGCUCUCCAUGACUCUGCCCACCACGUCUCUACCAACGCAAGCAAAGAGGUCCAUAAUGGAACGCUUCCGCUCGGCGGCAUACGGCCGCGAUGGUUUCCCGGCCCCCCUUAGCAACGGAAGAUACGUACUAUACUCCAUGCAACGGUACUCACGCUUGUCAUGGUUCUGCGAUACUCAAAGUGUCGCAGAGGUCAUCAUCACCUGGCACAUUGCCACCAGCCUAUUGGAGAUGACGUAUCCAGGACAUCGCAAAGGAGGGACCUCGCCGACGGAUCACCAUAGGGCGGUGGCGACAAAACUGUCCAAGUAUUGUUCUUACCUCGUGGUCUUCCACCCGGAGCUGCUACCGGAUGACCGGGAGUGCACAGAGCGCGUGUACGAGGACAUGAAGACCGGUCUCAAGGAGGCGCUCGGGAGUUGGAACUACCACUUAGGGUCGGAGAACGCGCGGUACACGAAGAUGAUGGCGACGAACCAGGAUAAGCUGCGCUCCGACUGCUGGGACAACACCAUGACUAUGGUCCAGAAGGGGAUAGUGCUUGGAAACGUGUUGGUGGUAGAGGCCAAUGGAGACUAUGGGGCCGUUUGGAAACUGCUUGCCGACCUUUGGGUUGAGCUGAUUGUGUAUGUUGCCCCAUCCAGCGGCGAUGAGCACGUGAAAUGGCACGAGGAGGCGCUAGUGCUAGGUGGCGAGCUCAUCACCUUGCUUUGGGCCUUGGCCACGCACACCGGUGUAACCCGCCCACCGUCGACAUCGUUGGUUGUCAUGCCGGUUGGCGAGGAUGUCGAGGAGGGAGUACGUCCUUGUGUAUAG
RNAcentral lists this ribosomal RNA (2379 nucleotides) under Triticum aestivum (bread wheat). Its description in RNAcentral is "partial small subunit ribosomal RNA". Lineage: Eukaryota; Viridiplantae; Streptophyta; Magnoliopsida; Poales; Poaceae. The record is from RNAcentral.